UAGCUCACUGGUCGAGUCGGCCUGCGCGGAAGAUGUAACGGGGCUAAACCAUGCACCGAAGCUGCGGCAGCGACGCUUAUGCGUUGUUGGGUAGGGGAGCGUUCUGUAAGCCUGCGAAGGUGUGCUGUGAGGCAUGCUGGAGGUAUCAGAAGUGCGAAUGCUGACAUAAGUAACGAUAAAGCGGGUGAAAAGCCCGCUCGCCGGAAGACCAAGGGUUCCUGUCCAACGUUAAUCGGGGCAGGGUGAGUCGACCCCUAAGGCGAGGCCGAAAGGCGUAGUCGAUGGGAAACAGGUUAAUAUUCCUGUACUUGGUGUUACUGCGAAGGGGGGACGGAGAAGGCUAUGUUGGCCGGGCGACGGUUGUCCCGGUUUAAGCGUGUAGGCUGGUUUUCCAGGCAAAUCCGGAAAAUCAAGGCUGAGGCGUGAUGACGAGGCACUACGGUGCUGAAGCAACAAAUGCCCUGCUUCCAGGAAAAGCCUCUAAGCAUCAGGUAACAUCAAAUCGUACCCCAAACCGACACAGGUGGUCAGGUAGAGAAUACCAAGGCGCUUGAGAGAACUCGGGUGAAGGAACUAGGCAAAAUGGUGCCGUAACUUCGGGAGAAGGCACGCUGAUAUGUAGGUGAAGUCCCUCGCGGAUGGAGCUGAAAUCAGUCGAAGAUACCAGCUGGCUGCAACUGUUUAUUAAAAACACAGCACUGUGCAAACACGAAAGUGGACGUAUACGGUGUGACGCCUGCCCGGUGCCGGAAGGUUAAUUGAUGGGGU
RNAcentral lists this ribosomal RNA (768 nucleotides) under Escherichia coli. RNAcentral describes it as "partial 23S ribosomal RNA". It matches the Rfam family "Bacterial large subunit ribosomal RNA", at positions 1138 to 1890 of the family's 2925-position model. Lineage: Bacteria; Pseudomonadati; Pseudomonadota; Gammaproteobacteria; Enterobacterales; Enterobacteriaceae. The record is from RNAcentral.